This is a long non-coding RNA of Mesocricetus auratus (golden hamster), 4397 nucleotides long. RefSeq lists it as uncharacterized. NCBI's taxonomy places the organism in Eukaryota, Metazoa, Chordata, Mammalia, Rodentia, Cricetidae. The record is from RefSeq and is a predicted model, not a curated record. The transcript is spliced from 2 exons.
GAGUUCAAAUGUCACCAACAACAUCUUCAUUGCUUUCCUUCCUGUUUGCUGCUGCAUGAACGCUCCCAGCGAUGGCUAGGCAGCUGUCUGUCACCAACACGAAUCAGAAGUUCCCAAAGGACUCUUUUUGUUACUUGAAACCUUUUUGGUACAGGCACAGUAGCACAAUUCAGCUUCCAGAAAGAGGCAGGAGGAACUCAAGUUUGAAGUCACCUUGCUUCAAUAGGAGGAAGUACUCACAAGAGAAAGUGCGAGCGCAGACAUAAUUCUGGAAGCAGCCGGCCUGGACAGGAACAGUGAAGAGGAACUGGGUUCCAGAUUCCCGACGCUAUUGCGCACCUGCAUCCUGGAGGCCUUGGGGAAGGUUAGACCUCAAAGGGCUGCUGAACUGUGCCUGAGACUUGCAAGCUCUGCUAGAUGCCUUCCCUGUCAUUUUCCUCUCCAGCUAUUUCCUCCCUCUGUGCCCAACACUACGGAAAUACAUUUUUUCUAAUGAAGAGAUAGUCUGAGCCAGAAUGAUGACUCUUUCUGCUUUUUAAAAAGAGGUUCCAUAUGACUAUGACCUGUGACUCUGACAAGAAGACUCACAAUUUGAACAUUCCAGAACAUUUGCUUUUACUUUUGAUUCUAUAUUUUAGGAAUUAAAAACAAGAGAAACCUCACCACCGCCAAGCACAGGAACUAGGUUAAACUGCAGGGCCUUGCGGGAUGGAUCUGGAUAGUGCAGUAGCUGGCAGUGAGGAAGCCGUGGUCCACACCUCUAUUGGGUGCAGAGGGGAGCUAGCUGGGUUGGAGAAGCAAGCCCAGGCUGGAGAGCCCGAUUUUCAGCAAAAAAAUUCCUGACUUGUCCUGGAGAUUAGGCUAGAGAAACCACCCUGUUAGAGACGUCUUUGGAAUUGGGUUAGAACAGGGCUGAGGGGAGUUCUUGUUAGAGACCCGGGGCAGAAAGACACAGUUUUUGUUGUUGCUGUUGUUUUUUUUUUUCCUCUAAGACAAAAGCCGGGGAAGGUCUUAGGGUGGAGAGAAAGGAAGCUUGUGAAUGAGCAAGCUUACAAACGUGGGAAAAAUAAUUCUAAACAAGCAUCGACACACAUUUUCCUGUAACCUGAUAUCCAAAGGUGUAGCUGGCCAGCUCUGCUGGUUCUCUGAAAAUGUCCACCUGAGAAACAGGCAUACUUUUGGAUAAAGGUGGCUGGAGAACCUAUUAUUCUGCAUGGAGAGAUCAGAAUUAUUGUAUGUUAAAGCUCAGCAUACUGCAAAUGUUUGGGACAGUAUUACUUUUCUUAAACUGUGUUGGUGUCUAAGUGUUUCAGAAUAUGUGGGAAACAAAGAGGUUUUUGCCAGGGAAGAGAGAGAUGAGGCAGACAAACUUUCUGGAGAAGCUAAGUGCUCUUUUUUGCUCAUCUGUGGGGGAAAACCACUUUUCAUCAGUGCACAUUUGUUUUUGCUUUUCUGUGUUUGCACUGUGGAAAGGGCUUUGCUGGUAUAGACUUUCUGAGAUGGUCUACACUUUGAAUACUUAUGGUCUCUAUAAAUCAUCUAAGUAUCAGAGAAAUACCAAUUUUCAAAUAUUUUGAUGUGUAGGCAGUAUGUUUAGGUUGGCUUAGUUCUGUACCUUAUUUUUUUAAUAUGCUUUUUUUCUUUAUGUCCAGUUUUUUUUGGGGGGGUUGUUUUUAUAUUCUAAAUACCCUCUGUCAGAUGUACAGUCACUAAAGAAUUUCCCCCUCACUCCAUGGGCUUUUUCUGCCAAUGAUGAUGUCUUUUGUUGUGAUCACGAAUCUCACCCAGUUACAAGCCCUGCAAGCUGUAUUAAUAACCCACCUAUAAGAUAUGCCCACUGGUGCAAUAGUGUCACAGUAUUAUGGGAGUAACCAUCUACAUUUUGCCAUCUACCUUUUUACUGAAUUUUAGAUGGAGCUCAAGCCUGAUAUUGUUAAUUAGGUCAAGAACCUGAGACUGGAUAGGUCAUGUGCUCAUAGAAAACCCACUAGAGGAGGCAGAAGGAUGUAAGAGCUAGAGGCAGUGGAAGCUUUUAAAGAAACAGCAUCUGUCUUCUUAUUUAGCAUCAUUUAUUUAUUGGUUCUUUGGGAAUUUCACAUCAUGAACCCUAAUUCUGCUCACCUCCUGUCCCUCAUGCAGUGCCCCCGAAAGAAAAUUUACAAAAAUCAAACCAAACCAAACCAAAGCAAGCAAGCAAACAAAAACAAGAACAAACCAAACCACUCCCCAAAAAGAACUCCCAAGAAACACCCCACUUCUUUCCUGCCUCUCCAAUAUCUCUUCCUUCAUCCUGGAGGCAUUGGAACCGUGGUGUGUCUCAUAGUACAGCCUUUUGUCCAAUCAACUUUACUAGCAAGUGUUCAUUGCAAUGAGUCACUGGUCUGGUUCAAGGCCUCUGGUUUCUGAUACAUCAUCGUCACUGGAUCCUCACCAGAACUCCUCUGGGAUAUCCCACAGCGUCUCUGAGUCAUGGAGAUCCUGUAGGUAAUGUUCCACAGGACCAGUCCCUUGACAGUCUCCAGCAGGUCCUAGAUGGGGAAGAUGUCAGGAUGGGUCAGUCCAAAGUCCAGCUGUGGGCCUGGGUGGUAGCUGAGUUCCUCAGUCUGCCUAUUGGGGUCACCUGCCUCAGGCAAAGGGGAGGAGUCAGCUCCUCUAUGCCUAUGCCAUUAAGGUCCGUCCUCCCUCACUUGUGGUGAGGGGUGAGGCCAUCUCUCCUGAGUGCAGGGGCCAGCUCUCCAGUGAAGGUUGGAACCAAUUUUAUUGCUGCAGUGUCCUGUGAGAGGCAGGGCCAGCUUUCCCCAGCCUAGUGAAGGGCAGGGCUGACUCAGCAUAGCUCUCAUGAGUGGUUCCUAUGGCCACCUUGGUGACAGAGGUAACAGACAUGAACACAGACCCCAGCUGCAGCUGGGAUCGUGGACUCAGACAUGGCCCUUGGCAGUAACUCUGGCCUGGAUGACAUCCUGGCUUUGUGAGGGAGCUCUAGCCACUCAGAUCAAGAUGGCUGUCAUGGCAGCUUGGCCCUUAGAUGCCACCAAGGCUUCAGGUUGUAGGCCAAAUCCUGGGCUUCUGUUCAAUCUUUGGUAUCAAUAUGGCACUAGGACUUCAGCACAGACCCCAGCUGCGGUAGGACAACGGACCCAGACUUGGUCCUCAGCAGCAACAGGGUCUGGAUGUUACCAUUGCUCCAGAUGGCAGUGUAGGCCUUUCAGAUUGGCAGGCACAGCCCCAGCAGCAGUGUGGCCCUCGAACACCAAUAUGUCCCCAGACCUUGGACAUCCCAUGGCCUUCAAAGGUAACAGGAGCUUCAGACAUCAACACUUAUCCUGGUUGUAAUAGGGCCACAGACUCAGACAUAGCCCUCCGAUGCAACUCUGGCCCAGAUGACACCCUGGCAUUGGGUAGUGGUACAGGCCGCUCAGAUCUGCAUGACUCCAAGCAGCAUGACACUCGGACGCCAACAUGGACUCAGGUGGUUGACCUGAUCCUGGGCAUCUACAUGGCCCUCAGUGUAAACUGGAGCCACAUAUGUCAACCUAGACCCUUGUCACUAUAGGGCCACAGGCAUGGUCCUCAGCAGGAGCCGGGGUCUGGAUGUCACCAUAGCCUCAGGUGGCAGCCAAGGCCACCCAGAUCAUCAGGGCCCCAGUGGCAGUGUGACACCUGGACACCAACAAGGCCCCAGGUGGCAGUCCAGACCCCUGGAAUCAGAGUGGCACUCGGUGGUACCAGGAGCCACGGACAUCAACACAGGCCCUGGCUGCGCUGGGCCACUAAGAAAGAGCAUUUCCAAGACGCAAUAGAGCAGAUGCACAUAUGCAUUCAUAGAGACUGUGACAGCAUGAACACAACCUGUGUGAGCUCAAGCCAGACAUCCCAGCCCUGAGGAAGAGCAAGUGGGUACAAGUCCUACCACUAAGAAGCUGUCUGCAAAUACUAACUGCUGGGAGAAGGGAAUGGAAUGGUACUGGAUAUAUCAAUUGCACCCCAUGGCAGGCCCUUUGCUUAGGAGCAAUUGGCCAACACAAAAUCAUUGAACUCCAUGUUUUUUAGAGAUUUUCUUUAUUUCUUAAUUUUUUUUUCAAGAGAGAAACAACAUGAAGUUGAAUGGGUAGGGAGGUAGAGGGUGGAAUCUGGAAGGGGUUGGGGGAUGGAAAACAAAAUGACAAAAGUAUAUUGUAUGUGAUUCUCAAAGAAUUGAUUGAAAAAUCAAUUUAGAGUAUUAGAUGUAUUUCCAUGGCCCCAUAUUGCUAUUUGAUAUGCCUUGUAUUAUAGGAUAUAAAAUGAGCAUUUCACCUAUAAAAUGUUAAGAUGGCACCCAACACAGGCAAUGGCUUCCCAUAAUUCAACAUCCCAAUAGUAUCUGGUAGUAUUAAAAAAUAAAUGAGUGGAUGAUUUUA